AUCCCUAGAAGCCUAAAGAAAAGGGGGGAAAGAUGAGGCCGAUGCCGAUGCCGAUGGAAUUCGUGACGGACCCAGACGACCAAGGUUCAGCUAUGGAAGUCGACGAUGUUGACACACCGGCACAAUCCCAAGCAGUCGUAACAGCCGACCCUCCCUCCCCACCCAUAGUAAAUCUCAACAAAUAUAGUUCAACAGUAACAGAACCAAAGUCACAAGGCGGGUCCCAGGCGAUGCUAUACGGGGUAGGAUUAUCAGAAAACGACAUGUUGAAACCCUAAGUGGGAAUUUCGUAGGUGUGGUACGACGGGAACCUGUGCAACAUGCAUUUGUUGAAGCUGUCGGACGAGGUGAAACGAGGUGUUGAGGACGCAGGGAUGGUUGGGUUUAGAUUCAAUACGGUCGGAGUAAGCGAUGCGAUUUCGAUGGGGACGAGGGGAAUGAGCUUCAGUUUGCAAUCAAGGGAUUUGAUUGCUGAUAGUAUUGAAACGAUUAUGGGUGUUCAGUGGUAUGAUGGCAAUAUCUCUAUUCCCGGUUGUGAUAAAAAUCUGUAGUUGCCGUCGAAGUCGCGGCAUAUCCAGUUUAAUACUCCUACCGUAAAGGACAUCAAGAGGCUCUCGUUUUGGGGGGCCUGGAACUGAUAUCAGCUGAAAUGAUUCCACUUUAAUCCGUGGCCUCAUUUUAGGUCAGUUACUUUGUUUAUGUCAAAAGCUUUCUUUUCUCGUGGCAAUAUUUGCGCUACGUCUCGCAAAUUUCUUUUCCGGUUCCUUAUUAAGUACUCCAGUCAAGUACAUUUGUUCCAUUUUUCCAACAUGUUUCCUUUAAGUCUUUAUAUAUUUUUUUACAAGUCCAGAAACUUUGUUUUGUUCAUUGUGGAUUAAUUCCUUUUGAUGCUUGCAUACAUGUAUGCACUCCUUUUCCCAACCUUUAUGUUUAAGUUUUAAUACUCAAAAGUAGGUGAAGCAGCUUUGGUGAGGUUGUUGUGCAUGUUGUCAUACACUGUUCUGUUAAUGAACCUUGGGGCUAGUUUUGUUCUAUUGCUUUUAAAAUCUUCGCUUCUUUUUAAAAUAUGGUAUCUGCUUUGUCCUCAUUUUUUUCUCUGCUGCACAUGAGGACAAAGUGAGGUUGGCAAGAAACCUGGAAUUUGUAGUUAAAGGCAUUUUCAGUUGAUACAUUUAAGUUAAAUCACGAUGGGAGUGAGUCACUUGCCCUUCUUUAUUGCCUAAGCUGGAGUAAUUCAUACCUAGCUGCAGAUGGAUCUGUCCAUAUUUAUCUUGCAUUUUGAAGAAAAUUUCUUUUGUUCUUGUCAUUUGAGGUUGUAAGGCACUUCAAAUAUAAGAUUUCCUUACUUUUCUAAAUAUGUGCUUUGUCUUAUGUGCAUUCUGAGAAAUUUAAAGAGUUACUUGAAGUUAAUUUAGCAGAUAGGUUCUUUCUACUUGUGAGUAACCUUUGAAGUUAAACUUAUAAAUCAUACAGUUUAAGAAACAGCAACUCCUCCCUUCCCUUGUCCAUAGGUGCGUCAUGUGGUUUUUCUUCUGUGUCAAUUUGUUAAUCACAUGUUGGUCACAUGGUUACCUGUCUACUACCCCUCGCAACUAGAGAAGGAUGAUCCAAAACUAUAUGCUAAUAACGCCCGAAGAUUAAUGGCCAGUGAGGUACUAAUAUACGAUCAAAUUGUCUUCUCAAAAGAUACAAAAUGUGGUCAUGUUGUUUGUAGGAAACUCUUAGAUACCUGCUAUAGUAAAAGCUAAGCCCUUCCAAAAAAUCUCUCUUAACAGUUAGCAGAUACCAUGUUUUGAUUAUUCUAGAAUUCUGAAGCACUAGCCUGAGGCACCAUACGAAUUUUCUUGUGCCAAGUAGUCGCUGAUAUGCAUAAGAAAAACCAUCUAGUCUUAUUGUAUUACUUGAUUGUCAUUGAUGUUAAAAAUGAGUUUUUACUUUCUGUUUGAUUUUUCUGCCGGCAGGGUAAUUUGAUACUAUCGGAUAUUGGACUGGCUGAGAAGCGAAUAUAUCUUGCUACACUCAAUGGUAAUAAUAGCAUGCCUAGUGUUUUGCGUCAGAAAGAUGAUUGAUAAUUUCUUGGCCUUGCUCCGAAAUGAUGUCUCAUCUGAGUUUCUUAGUUUGCGCCGGUAUUUUCAUGAAUGCAGAGACAAAUCAAAGGGAUGGUUUCACUUUCCUCAUUUAACCCAAAAUGACGCCAUUUGCAGUUAUAUUGUAAAACUUAUUUAUUCCUUGAAAUUACAGCCAGUAGAUUCAGAUUUAAAUGUGCAUCAUUGCUGCAAUAUAUUCAGAUUUAAUCAAUAUUUAAUUGAUGUUUUGAUGUGACAAACAGUAAGAACUUUAGGUGGUUAAAGUUCUACUUUCAUAUGCUCCAACUUUUACUAACGACUAUCUUUGCCUCAUUCUUUCUGUUAAGCUGCAAUAUAUUAUCCUAAAUCAACCUUUUGGGGUGGGUACUUGACCAUGAGUUGAAAAGAGACUAGUUGAAAUAAAGUUUCUAGCUGUAGAGAUUUUAGAAUUUUGAUUCUUGUAGUAAGGACAAUUAAAUUGUUUUCAUCCCAUACCCCUUUUUGUUAUAAACUCACUCAUGAGAAUUGUACUUAUUGCUGUUACUGUGUGCAUCAUUGUCAAUGAAUGCCUAUUUUCUUUAUGAUGUAUGAUGAAUUUUCCAAGACUUAUAUUGGAAUUUUGUUUUCUCAAAAUAUAGAGGAUACCACUUGAUUUUCUGCAAGGAGACAAGUUCCGUGAAGCUGCAGUUAGUUAUAUUAAGCCUCUUCUAACGAAGGGGGUUCCAUCUUUAUUCUCAGAUCUUUCUCCUUUGUAUGAUCACCCUGGCAAGGUAGACAUGUUGAAGAGGAGAGACCACCUUCAGUGGCAGUGAGUGAAUUAAAUCAAUUAAGUCACUACUCAGAAGUAAAAUAUCAAUUAGCCUGUUACUUUAUCAGAAUGUGCUAUAUUUCCUCAGCAAUGUCUAAUUUUAGUUUAUAGAAGCAAUAAACCCAUGUAGUAAACAGUGGAUGUAGUAAACCCAUUUUAGUCUAAUUUCAAAGGGUUUUUGAAUUUCCAAUUUAGUUUAUAAAUUUUCAAGUU
Molecule: RNA transcript, 3087 nt
Organism: Gossypium raimondii (Peruvian cotton)
Lineage: Eukaryota; Viridiplantae; Streptophyta; Magnoliopsida; Malvales; Malvaceae
Gene name: dihydroxy-acid dehydratase, chloroplastic
Exons: 5
Source: RefSeq, a predicted model, not a curated record